RNAcentral lists this transfer RNA (67 nucleotides) under Marmota monax (woodchuck). Its description in RNAcentral is "tRNA.Ala". Lineage: Eukaryota; Metazoa; Chordata; Mammalia; Rodentia; Sciuridae. The record is from RNAcentral.
GGUUGUAGCUCAGUGGUAGAGUGCUUGCCUAGCAUGUGUGAGACACUGGGUUUGAUCCUCAGCACCA